RNAcentral lists this ribosomal RNA (405 nucleotides) under uncultured bacterium. RNAcentral describes it as "partial 16S ribosomal RNA". It matches the Rfam family "Bacterial small subunit ribosomal RNA", at positions 30 to 525 of the family's 1533-position model. The record is from RNAcentral.
AUUGAACGCUGGCGGCAGGCCUAACACAUGCAAGUCGAACGAGUGGCGGACGGGUGAGUAAUGUCUGGGAAACUGCCUGAUGGAGGGGGAUAACUACUGGAAACGGUAGCUACUACCGCAUACCAUCGGAUGUGCCCAGAUGGGAUUAGCUAGUGGGUGGGGUAAAGGCUCACCUAGGCGACGAUCCCUAGCUGGUCUGAGAGGAUGACGAGCCACACUGGAACUGAGACACGGCCCAGACUCCUACGUGGGGCAGCAGUGGGGAAGAUUGGACAAUGGGCGCAAGCAUGAAGCAUCCAUGCCGCGUGUAUGAAGAAGGCCGUCGGGUUGUAAAGUACUUUCAGCGGGGAGGCGUUACCAGCAGAAGAAGCACCGGCUAACUCCGUGCAAGACGCCGCGGUAAUU